CUUUAUUGGAGAGUUUGAUCCUGGCUCAGGAUGAACGCUGGCGGCGUGCCUAAUACAUGCAAGUCGAGCGAAUGGAUUAAGAGCUUGCUCUUAUGAAGUUAGCGGCGGACGGGUGAGUAACACGUGGGUAACCUGCCCAUAAGACUGGGAUAACUCCGGGAAACCGGGGCUAAUACCGGAUAACAUUUUGAACUGCAUGGUUCGAAAUUGAAAGGCGGCUUCGGCUGUCACUUAUGGAUGGACCCGCGUCGCAUUA
RNAcentral lists this ribosomal RNA (256 nucleotides) under Bacillus sp. ok061. Its description in RNAcentral is "16S rRNA. Bacterial SSU". It matches the Rfam family "Bacterial small subunit ribosomal RNA", at positions 1 to 243 of the family's 1533-position model. The record is from RNAcentral. Lineage: Bacteria; Bacillati; Bacillota; Bacilli; Caryophanales; Bacillaceae.